Molecule: small RNA, 106 nt
Organism: Serratia odorifera DSM 4582
Lineage: Bacteria; Pseudomonadati; Pseudomonadota; Gammaproteobacteria; Enterobacterales; Yersiniaceae
Rfam family: ArcZ RNA
About the family: This RNA was discovered in E. coli during a large scale screen. SraH expression is highly abundant in stationary phase, but low levels could be detected in exponentially growing cells as well. ArcZ RNA function as an activator of the alternative sigma factor RpoS as a response of stress.
Source: Rfam
AUGUUUAGGAAUUCAUUACAACCUGCUCGACCAGAACACUGAAAACCAAUACGCAGGUCACGAUUUCCCUGGUGUUGGCGCAAUAUUCGCGCACCCCGGCCUAGGU